This 293-nucleotide long non-coding RNA is filed under the name Trifolium pratense (red clover). Its description in RNAcentral is "long non-coding RNA (TPRA_LNC010035)". The record is from RNAcentral. Lineage: Eukaryota; Viridiplantae; Streptophyta; Magnoliopsida; Fabales; Fabaceae.
GAUGUUUCUCAUUAUUGUGUUUCUUUCAUUUUUGGAAUGUAAACUCAUUGUCAUUUUUGUAUUCCAGACCCAUAUUCAUUUUCGGAUUUCAUGUCAUUAUAUUUUAUUCCUUCAAUUUGUAAUGAUGUUGCUUCCUGCUCUAGUCAGAUCUUUGUUUUAUUUUUUUGUUUUCUUGUGCAAUCAGAGGUUGCUGCUGCUCAUCAAUUUGGGGAUAAAUGUAUGCCAUGUUAACAAUCAAAACAACUAUUCAUUUUCUUUCUAAUGUGAUGAGAAUUUGCUUCAUCUUUUCUCAA